This 490-nucleotide ribosomal RNA is filed under the name uncultured bacterium. RNAcentral describes it as "partial 16S ribosomal RNA". It matches the Rfam family "Bacterial small subunit ribosomal RNA", at positions 30 to 507 of the family's 1533-position model. The record is from RNAcentral.
AUUGAACGCUGGCGGCAUGCCUUACACAUGCAAGUCGAACGGCAGCAUGAUCUAGCUUGCUAGAUUGAUGGCGAGUGGCGAACGGGUGAGUAAUACAUCGGAACGUGCCCUGUAGUGGGGGAUAACUAGUCGAAAGAUUAGCUAAUACCGCAUACGACCUGAAGGUGAAAGUGGGGGACCGCAAGGCCUCAUGCUAUAGGAGCGGCCGAUGUCUGAUUAGCUAGUUGGUGAGGUAAAGGCUCACCAAGGCGACGAUCAGUAGCUGGUCUGAGAGGACGAUCAGCCACACUGGGACUGAGACACGGCCCAGACUCCUACGGGAGGCAGCAGUGGGGAAUUUUGGACAAUGGGCGAAAGCCUGAUCCAGCAAUGCCGCGUGUGUGAAGAAGGCCUUCGGGUUGUAAAGCACUUUUGUCCGGAAAGAAAUGGCUCUGGUUAAUACCUGGGGUCGAUGACGGUACCGGAAGAAUAAGAACCGGCUAACUACGUG